AUUCAGUCGGGCUUCCGUUGCACUUUCGGCCGAUUGAGCAAAACGGAUCCCAGAACUGGGCCGGGUCGGUCGGAAUGUCGCGGUUCUCGACGCAUUUUCUCCCGCUCUGAGGACGUCGCAGCCGGUUGGGAAGAGCUGGACGGACUGAAAGGCGGACGCUGGCAGGUGGCCGGUGGCGCGGCUUCGGCUGUGUCGUCGGUUGUUAGCCUGUUCGCCGUUAUGUCUCGUCCCCCGACCGAGGUUGUUUGAGGUCCGAAUGGACCCGUUUGAUGUCCGCCUCCUCCCUUUAGCAGGACAGCCGGGACUAGACUUUGAAGCAGGCGAUCGCCGACGGUGCGGCCGCACUCUCUGACUGAGUGGGCCAGUGCUGUCGCGACGUCGAUCGCUACUGCGUGCCCGUGGGAGUGCUGGCGGCUAGCGACGAGUAGGUCGGUCACCCACCCGACCCGUCUUGAAACACGGACCAAGGAGUCUAACAUGUGCGCGAGUCAAUGGGUCUUGAACAGGCCCAGAGGCGUAAUGAAAGCAAAGGGCGGCAGAACGCCGUCUGAGUUGGGAUCCUGGGGCUUCCCGCGUCCAAGGAGCACCAACGACCCGUCCUGUCCGAUUUAUUUCGGUUGGGCGGAGUAUGAGCGUACACGUUGGGACCCGAAAGAUGGUGAACUAUGCCCGGGCAGGACGAGGCCAGAGGAAACUCUGGUGGAGGUCCGUAGCGGUUCUGACGUGCAAA
Molecule: ribosomal RNA, 730 nt
Filed under: Dorceus fastuosus
Lineage: Eukaryota; Metazoa; Arthropoda; Arachnida; Araneae; Eresidae
Description: partial large subunit ribosomal RNA
Rfam family: Eukaryotic large subunit ribosomal RNA (bases 285-730)
Source: RNAcentral